Molecule: ribosomal RNA, 424 nt
Filed under: uncultured prokaryote
Description: bacterial SSU rRNA
Rfam family: Bacterial small subunit ribosomal RNA
Source: RNAcentral
CAAGGAAUUUUCCCCAAUGGGCGCAAGCCUGAGGGAGCAACGCCGCGUGCAGGACGACGGCCUUCGGGUUGUAAACUGCUUUUGCGUGGGACGAUAACGACGGUACCACGCGAAUCAGCCCCGGCUAACUCUGUGCCAGCAGCCGCGGUAAUACGGAGGGGGUUAGCGUUGUUCGGAAUUACUGGGCGUAAAGCGCACGUAGGCGGACUAUUAAGUCAGGGGUGAAAUCCCGGGGCUCAACCCCGGAACUGCCUUUGAUACUGGUAGUCUUGAGUUCGAGAGAGGUGAGUGGAAUUCCGAGUGUAGAGGUGAAAUUCGUAGAUAUUCGGAGGAACACCAGUGGCGAAGGCGGCUCACUGGCUCGAUACUGACGCUGAGGUGCGAAAGCGUGGGGAGCAAACAGGAUUAGAUACCCCCGUAGUCC